This 72-nucleotide transfer RNA is filed under the name Aedes aegypti (yellow fever mosquito). It matches the Rfam family "tRNA". From Rfam's summary of the family: Transfer RNA (tRNA) molecules are approximately 80 nucleotides in length. Their secondary structure includes four short double-helical elements and three loops (D, anti-codon, and T loops). Further hydrogen bonds mediate the characteristic L-shaped molecular structure. tRNAs have two regions of fundamental functional importance: the anti-codon, which is responsible for specific mRNA codon recognition, and the 3' end, to which the tRNAs corresponding amino acid is attached (by aminoacyl-tRNA synthetases). tRNAs cope with the degeneracy of the genetic code in two manners: having more than one tRNA (with a specific anti-codon) for a particular amino acid; and 'wobble' base-pairing, i.e. permitting non-standard base-pairing at the 3rd anti-codon position. Lineage: Eukaryota; Metazoa; Arthropoda; Insecta; Diptera; Culicidae. The record is from Rfam by way of RNAcentral.
GGCUCGAUAGCUUAGUUGGUAAAGCGCUCGUCUAGCAUACAAGAGUCCUGGGUUCAAAUCCCAGCCAAGCAC